Molecule: long non-coding RNA, 384 nt
Organism: Anopheles arabiensis
Lineage: Eukaryota; Metazoa; Arthropoda; Insecta; Diptera; Culicidae
Exons: 2
Source: RefSeq, a predicted model, not a curated record
GUAGCUGAACGUCAGCACGGGGCCAGAAAGGAUCUGGUUGUGCCCGAGUUUGUACACCCGCAAAACCCGCCGCUACCACCGCCGGUGGCGGUGUGGAUUGUAAAAGCCGAGCAAACUUACACAUGAUGUUGCGCACCAAAUGCGCCGUACUUGGGCACAAGUGUAGAUCAAAAACCUGGAUGAAACCUGAUGAGUUGUCGAGUGGGGCUUCACUGCUUAAUUGUGCUAGCUGAUGGGCAACUAAUGAUGGUGAAAAUGGUUCCACAAUCUGGCAAGGCAUAGGCAGCUCAAAACUUUCUCAAUUUUCCGAAUCAUUUGAACAAGCAAAGCUGGUGUUAGUGAUUGAUUGCUUUACUAAUUAAUAAAAAUAACCAACAACAUUAA